This 524-nucleotide ribosomal RNA is filed under the name uncultured bacterium. Its description in RNAcentral is "bacterial SSU rRNA". It matches the Rfam family "Bacterial small subunit ribosomal RNA", at positions 984 to 1509 of the family's 1533-position model. The record is from RNAcentral.
ACAUCCAGCGAACUUGGCAGAGAUGCCUUGGUGCCUUCGGAACGCUGAGACAGGUGCUGCAUGGCUGUCGUCAGCUCGUGUUGUGAAAUGUUGGGUUAAGUCCCGNAACGAGCGCAACCCUUAUCCUUUGUUGCCAGCGAUUCGGUCGGGAACUCAAAGGAGACUGCCGGUGAUAAACCGGAGGAAGGUGGGGAUGACGUCAAGUCAUCAUGGCCCUUACGAGUAGGGCUACACACGUGCUACAAUGGCGCAUACAAAGAGAAGCGACCUCGCGAGAGCAAGCGGACCUCAUAAAGUGCGUCGUAGUCCGGAUCGGAGUCUGCAACUCGACUCCGUGAAGUCGGAAUCGCUAGUAAUCGUGGAUCAGAAUGCCACGGUGAAUACGUUCCCGGGCCUUGUACACACCGCCCGUCACACCAUGGGAGUGGGUUGCAAAAGAAGUAGGUAGCUUAACCUUCGGGAGGGCGCUUACCACUUUGUGAUUCAUGACUGGGGUGAAGUCGUAACAAGGUAGGCGUAGCGAG